This 900-nucleotide ribosomal RNA is filed under the name Pediococcus pentosaceus. Its description in RNAcentral is "bacterial SSU rRNA". It matches the Rfam family "Bacterial small subunit ribosomal RNA", at positions 45 to 934 of the family's 1533-position model. The record is from RNAcentral. Lineage: Bacteria; Bacillati; Bacillota; Bacilli; Lactobacillales; Lactobacillaceae.
UGAUUAUGACGUACUUGUACUGAUUGAGAUUUUAACACGAAGUGAGUGGCGAACGGGUGAGUAACACGUGGGUAACCUGCCCAGAAGUAGGGGAUAACACCUGGAAACAGAUGCUAAUACCGUAUAACAGAGAAAACCGCAUGGUUUUCUUUUAAAAGAUGGCUCUGCUAUCACUUCUGGAUGGACCCGCGGCGUAUUAGCUAGUUGGUGAGGUAAAGGCUCACCAAGGCAGUGAUACGUAGCCGACCUGAGAGGGUAAUCGGCCACAUUGGGACUGAGACACGGCCCAGACUCCUACGGGAGGCAGCAGUAGGGAAUCUUCCACAAUGGACGCAAGUCUGAUGGAGCAACGCCGCGUGAGUGAAGAAGGGUUUCGGCUCGUAAAGCUCUGUUGUUAAAGAAGAACGUGGGUAAGAGUAACUGUUUACCCAGUGACGGUAUUUAACCAGAAAGCCACGGCUAACUACGUGCCAGCAGCCGCGGUAAUACGUAGGUGGCAAGCGUUAUCCGGAUUUAUUGGGCGUAAAGCGAGCGCAGGCGGUCUUUUAAGUCUAAUGUGAAAGCCUUCGGCUCAACCGAAGAAGUGCAUUGGAAACUGGGAGACUUGAGUGCAGAAGAGGACAGUGGAACUCCAUGUGUAGCGGUGAAAUGCGUAGAUAUAUGGAAGAACACCAGUGGCGAAGGCGGCUGUCUGGUCUGCAACUGACGCUGAGGCUCGAAAGCAUGGGUAGCGAACAGGAUUAGAUACCCUGGUAGUCCAUGCCGUAAACGAUGAUUACUAAGUGUUGGAGGGUUUCCGCCCUUCAGUGCUGCAGCUAACGCAUUAAGUAAUCCGCCUGGGGGAGUACGACCGCAGAGGUUGAAACUCAAAAGAAUUGACGGGGGCCCGCACAAGCGGGG